CAGCACAUAACAGCUGGGUGCACGAUGCUAGUAUGCAGGGAAUGUCACAGAAAACAUGAAAAGAAAAAAAUUAAGGCAACCGAUUGCCGUAAGUACUUGCAUUAAGUACAUUUAUUCAGUUCAAUGGUAUUUUCUUGGCCUCCAAAAGUCAUCGUAGAUUUGGAUGAAAGGUAAGAGGGAAGAAAAGAGAAAAAAAAGAAAGAAAACAAAGUAUGCUAAUGCUAGAAUUCAAAAUCUCAGUUUGAGGCUCCUGUCCUUUAUAAUUGCUAAUAUAGAGCCAACAGUCUACUAAUUAUGUAUGCAAAAAACAAAAAACAAAGUAGUUUUAAAACAGGCUUGCAAAAAUAAUAGUUUUGCUGAUGCCUAAAUAAUCCAAAUAUUCAAACUGGCUUUUUUGCUAUGACUCUGCUUUUAGUAGUUUAAACAUAUUUGUGAAUGUUUACUUAACAGUUUACACAGAUUUUAGUUAUAUUCGUCUUUCUGUUAUUUUAUCAUUACUUCUCAUGAACAAAUCGGAAUUUAGCUUGCUUUGCGCCUGUUCAACUCUUUAGAAACAAAAAACUACAUUCACAGUGAGAUGUUAAUUACGGCUAGAUUUCAAGCGCAAAACGUAAAAGUAACUACCGUAUGUCUGUCCGGGCUCGUGGUAGGCGGGACUGUGUUGCCAUGACAAUGACGUCAAUGUUGGUGUCGAGUAACCAAAGGUCAAAAUAAAGACAAGUGAAUGAAAACGGAAGGAAACUAAACAGGCUUCCUAGAAUAGCACAGAACAGUACCAGGUUGACUCAAAAUACAAACUAAUUUCCUGCACUGGAUGCUGUCGUGUCGUUCGUCCGGGAAUAAUCGUUUUAUAUACCGGAGCAACUAAACUGUACGCGGAUAUACAUCUGGUCAGCAUUCGCCUCAGACAGUAUCUACAUUUUCAUAGCUCCCUGAUUGCUCAAAAGGAAAACCAGUGUGGCCACUAUAACCUUCUGACCUUAACUCUAUUAAGGACCUGGGCUGGCAUCUUCAGAUCAAAUGUAAAGGGGAAACUGGAUAUUGGCUACAAUAAUACUAACUGUUCAGUGUUUCACUUCAGAACACAUUUUUGAUCAUUGUUUCAGUUUUCUAUCUCCAGUGUGAUUUGAUUGGCUCUGUAUUUUGAAAGCAUGCUGUUAGAAGUCAAAAUGGAACUGUCCACCUACUGUUCUCCAAUCUUAAAAAGGGGACUUUGAGUAGAGAUGGUCACCACCCUCCAAAAACAAACAAGAUAAAGAGAGAGAGAGAGAGAGAGAGAUCAGUUAAAUCAGCUGAUGAAUUGGGUACAUUGAUUUGUAAAACAUGAGUUUUUCAUACAGCUUAGUGUUGCUCUGUCGCACCACCCUUGUGUUGGACAAUAUUUUAAUACUGUAUACAUGCUUUUGUGGCAAAACAGUAAACUUGUGAACUUCCUUAUCUGUCAUGUAAAGGAACAGUAAAGCAUUUAAGGCUCCCUUUUUUUCUUUUUUCUUUUUUCUUUUUUUUCCCCCCCUCACAUAAAAAUUAACAUUGCUGUUUAAAAAAAUGAAGAAAAAAAUACGCUUUUUUUUGGGACCACUGCUGCAGCGUUUCAUACAUGUACAGGAGAAUAAAAAUGAUCAGCGUGCUUGUAAGGAAAAUAUGAGGAAUCUAAUGACGAUUGACCUUUUAGUACACAGUGUCAUUGCACUGUAACUGUGUUCACCACUAGAUGUUAGGUUUGUGCUUCUAUUCAAUCAGCAGUCUAAUUCUACAACUCACUGGUGACGAUAAUGAUAACUUGGCUGUUUCCUUUUCCUGGUUCCCACAGUAUAUUAAAUACAUUGCUAUAUGAGUAGUUUUAAACAUAACAUGUUCAAAUAGUGCAAGCUAUAAUGAAAAUAUUGGCAGAUUUCAAACAUAGUGACAACAGAUCAACAGAUAUUUACUUCCAAAGGCUGAGAAUAGAAAGUGAGUCAAAAUCUUAAUUUUAGACUUGUUACAGCUAGACUUAAAGUCUAGCUAAAGAGCAAACUUAAUGGUUGCGAUACUGUAUUCUUGAUCACUCAUACUCGCUCUUUUACAUGGUUCAAUCCUUUGUUCCCCCUCAGGUGUCCCAUCUGCCUCUCUUCUGUCCAGUCCACAAAGGCUUUUGCAUUACUGAAAUUCUAAGUUACAUUCUUUGACCUAAAUCCAUUUACAUUGUUCCAAAUGCACAUGCAAUGCUCAUGAAAAACUGUAGGUGGCAGAACUUAACCAUAAGUAAAGCACAGUUGCAAGUGCUGUUCAGCUAUAUUUGAUGGACCAAGAAAGUAUCGUACUUGGUUUGCAGCUCUUUUACACCACAGUUGUACUUUGACAACCUGUAGGUAUAAUGAAGGCCUGGUGAGGUAGUAUUUCUUUUUUCCCUGUAAAAACCUGACUUGUCAACCACCUUUUCUAGUGAAUAUACUUUUAAAUACAAUUACAAUGUAAAUUUGAUAUAAAUGACAUUGAAAAUACACUUAGUUACAGCUGUGUUAUAAUGUAUUACCUAAUAUUCUAAUGACACUACAGGACACCAACAGAAUCCUCCAAGUAACCUAGAAGAUAAUAUAAUAGGGUCAAUAUCCAUGGGUACAUUUACAAGUGUAAAUGGCCUGUAUUUGUAUAGCACUUUACAGUGUACAAUCUUAAAAAUGCCCUGCCAAGGUAGCUCUGUAGCUGGCACGGAGUUUAGCUGAAAACAAAUGUCCUUGCAUGAUUCACCUGUGUGCUCCAUCCCCCACAAAGAAGUAGCACACCGUUUUUGGCUGUGUGUUGACAGCCAUCAUCUCAGAAUUCCUCAGUUUAAACAAGGACACGUAUUGAUUCAAGAUCACACACCGAAAGAGGAUUGUUUUGGUUGUAGUUAAGGGCAGGGUUCAGCAGUUUUUGUGAGAACAUGCACAUGGAUAAGAGAGAGAGAAAAAAACAAAACAGGAAAGACCAGAGAAUGCACGUAUGGGUAUUUGUACUAUAGUCACACGUGUUAUUACAUUCAUGCAAACUAGAACAGUGUGUUCUAACUUUGACAUUUACAGUUUAAACUCUGAUGAAAGGCAUGUUUUUUUUAAGGAGUGGCCAAAAUAUUUCAAUAAUACUCUACUUUCUACUUGGAGCAAUGCAAAUCAAUGGUUCGAAAUCAGUCAGCAUGAUGAGGGAGUUUCUACUGUCAAAGGAACACAUCUAAAAAUGUUUGAGAGGCAGACAUGCAUCAGUACAUUUCAGGAGUGAAAACUACUGUAAAAAAAAAACUAAAUCUGAUAAGGACUGUGUUAGGGCUUGUUGAGCAUGCAGGUUUCAUCCAGAGAAGAACUGGUUUAUAUAUUUUUUAAAAUCACUAAAAGAAACCAAGAAACUUGUGUAUAUCUGAGUUUGCAAGCUGGAUGUAGGAAAAUUAUGUUAGCUAAUUAUUUGCUGAAUAAAGUAAAUUGUUAAACUACAGUUACAUUAUUUCCUGUGUUGCUUUGUUGAAAGACCUGAAAUGGAUUCACACAUAAUUACGGAUUAGUGACGGGUAAUGGAUUGUCACAUAAAUCCCACACAUCAACACAAAUGCCCGUCCUCAUGAGAAAACUGGUCGCAGCAGAUGGCCGCCCCUCUCUGAGCCUGGUUCUGCCGGAGGUUUCUUCCUGUUAAAAGGGAGUUUUUCCUUCC
Molecule: long non-coding RNA, 3657 nt
Organism: Oreochromis niloticus (Nile tilapia)
Lineage: Eukaryota; Metazoa; Chordata; Actinopteri; Cichliformes; Cichlidae
Exons: 4
Source: RefSeq, a predicted model, not a curated record